This 301-nucleotide ribosomal RNA is filed under the name uncultured bacterium. Its description in RNAcentral is "partial 16S ribosomal RNA". It matches the Rfam family "Bacterial small subunit ribosomal RNA", at positions 509 to 809 of the family's 1533-position model. The record is from RNAcentral.
CAGUCGCCGCGGGAAAACGGAGGGUGCAAGCGUUAUCCGGAUUUAUUGGGUUUAAAGGGUCCGUAGGCGGACUUAUAAGUCAGUGGUGAAAGCCUGUCGCUUAACGAUAGAACUGCCAUUGAUACUGUAAGUCUUGAGUAUAUUUGAGGUAGCUGGAAUAAGUAGUGUAGCGGUGAAAUGCAUAGAUAUUACUUAGAACACCAAUUGCGAAGGCAGGUUACCAAGAUAUAACUGACGCUGAGGGACGAAAGCGUGGGUAGCGAACAGGAUUAGAUACCCCUGUAGUCCCUGUCUCUUAUAU